AACUUAGGGUGUUAUAGAGUUUCUAGAG
RNAcentral lists this non-coding RNA (28 nucleotides) under Cricetulus griseus (Chinese hamster). Lineage: Eukaryota; Metazoa; Chordata; Mammalia; Rodentia; Cricetidae. The record is from RNAcentral.